ACUCCUUGGUAGCAGACUAUAUUCUCAUCAAUUUUUCCAAUGGGAGUUGUGAUUCCUAUUAUUGUUGUAACUAGACUUAGAUGAUGAAGAUCCAUACUUGUUUGGAUAAACAAGCUUCUUGAAUUUCACCUAGGUCUAAUACUCGAUGGUAAACCCUAACUCCUUGUCCAUGUACUUUUCGGUAAAGUUGAAUUUAGCCUUUUACUUUUAGCCCAACUGACUAGUGUUUUUGUCCACUACCUGUUCAGCCUUGUAAUUUUCAGUGUAAUGGCUUGAGGCUCUACCAUAUUCAUCAUUCUACGAAGAUCGAGCUUUACUCUGAACUUCUCUGGACUCAUUGAACUUUGGUUUCUUCAAGGGCAUCACUUUAAGGUAACCAAUAGUGCCACUGCAUACAUUUGCAGGCUGCUUUGUAUCUUUCUUCUUCGUCAUUCUGCUAAUUCAGAGGUUCUAUGCUUAAUUUUUGAACUUUGAAACAACUCUCACAAAGUAUUGUGAAUUUCAAAUUGUCUUUGGCCUCGUCAAAUCUUAUUAACAGUUCUUAACUACUCUUGAGAUUAGACCUAUUUUAUUUUGGCUAAGAAACUAGUCAAUCUUACUGUGAUGAUUAACCAAAUAAUCAUAGACAGUGACUCCUAUUUCUGCAUCUUCACCUUCAUUCGCUUGUUUGUUUCUCAAUGUAAUAUGGAUCAUGCUGGAACAAUACACCGAGGAUGACAAAAAAAAUAAAACGUUUGUUCUCGGCAUGGUUUCUAGUUCAAAUCCUAACAUCUUGUACUCUAGAUUCUAAUGGACUUGUUUUGACCCUUAAAUUCUUGAGUGUUCUUUCAACCUUCUCGACAUGGUUUCUCGCUCAAUCAGUGAGGAAUUCACGAUCAAUCGAUUUGGUGAAAGUGUGCGCCCAAUUCUUAUCAAUUUGGAUAGGAAUGUUAGGGGCAUAACCUUUCACAAGCUUACCAAACUUACCAGAAACAAUUCCAUGUAGGUGUGAAGUUAAGUCGUCUUUUGGUAAGAGAUUGGUGAAGAUUGUAGUGUAAAUGAUCAGUUGAUUGCAUCACUAUCUUCACGCGGAAUUGAAUGGUCACCACUCAUUGUCUUGUUGCAAUUCAUCACCAUCAUAUCGUACUCUGGUAGACCUUUUCGAUGAUGUAAUGUGUUCGCCUCAACGCAGUUUUCCACUACCUCUCACCAGGAUCAUUCGGUUCGAGAGCACAUGGGCAUGAGGUUUAGGCGGUCUUUUAGUAAGAGUUGGAUGAAGGUUUUAGUACAGAAGGUCAGCAGAUUGUAUCACCAUCUUACUAUAAUUCAUAGGCAUCACAUCGGUUAUUUUCCAACGUUAUGUGUUUGUCUCAAAGCAUCUUUUCACUGCUUCACUUUUGAACCUUAUUGUUGUGAGUAGGCGGAUGUCGAAACACUUCUAGCAAAUCUGUUUGGUGCACUUUGGGAUGGCACUACAGCACGGUUGAGGCGAGAAUUGGAUAAUCUUUACACCUUUCUCAAAAGGUGUGUGCCCUUUUUUGUUUUUCGGUUGAUCAUUUGCGAGUUGUUCUUCUUUCCACCAACUUUGGCCUUGUUUGACUAGAAAUUUGCAACUAUGUAAAAAUGGAGAAGUGGUUUGAGCACUACAACAGCUUGUCGAGGAAGAUGACUUAUCAUUUUCUACUUGCUUGGUUCGAGCUUUUGGGUUUACUAUUAACAUAGUAGCCACUUCUCUUGAAUCUCAAGGUAUAGUUUUCAAAUGGGUUCUUUAUUUGUGAAACUAUGGAGUAGUUGGUCACAUUUGGAAGAACGGAGGAGAAUAAGAUGCUUGGUGCUAGAUGCAGUUGUUACGACGAUAGUUUUUAUUUUGUUUGGUUGGGUACGACACUUUUGUGACAUAGUAUGAAAGUUUUCUACAUGCAACACUGGUUGGCAGAGGAGUAUUGUGAACUGGUAUUCGGAUGAUUAAAUUUACGACAUGUGAAAUUGUGCACCCUUAGAAAAUUACUGCCUGUUUAUCGAGACAACAAUGUGUUAUCGAUAUCGCGAACUGCAGACUGUGAUAUCAAUAACUUAUUUGUUGGGUUCGUUAAGCAAGUGGGCAGGAAGACCUGUCUUCAAUAGUGGUUACAGAUUUGUUAUUGUUGGGGCUCGAUCCAAAAACACAUAUAUUCUCGGAGUACGUGACGUUUUGAAUUCUUGGGCAAGACCCACUUUCAUUUCCGAUUUUGGAUUUUCAGUAUAAAUAUUUUAACUUACGUUACUAGUUAUUUAUUUUGACGUUACAGAUGUUUUGGGGGAAGUAUUUCCGUUUUCAGUUUUAAGUUUAGCACAAGUUUUCGACCUAUAUGUUUUUACCUAUCUAUUUUGAUGUUAUCGUAUUUUACGUCCUUACUUUUGGCCUUAAGCUAUUUUGUGUUUUCGACUUUAUAUUUCAUUAAAGUAUGUUUCUACUUUUCCACUGAUGGGGAAAGAAAGUAAGAGCUCGGAGGCAUGAUAGAGGAUUUGGCAAACCGUUUGCGAUGGUGUGGCGUAUUCUCUUUGAUGCACCCACUCUGACUUGAUUUCUCUUUAUACAUAAAUUCUUCUUCCUAUUUUCAAGUUUUUUAGUGUAGUCAGUUAUUUCAAAUUUCGGGGACGAAAUUUCAUUAAGGGGGGUAGAUUGUAAAACCGCACCCUCAAUUAUAAAGGUAAUUUUGAGUUUUUAUUUAAAAAAUGGUUUUUUUAAGGCCUUAAUAGGUGUGCCCAGAGGGCCCACCUUGUUUUUGUGUCCCUGGUUUUUCCCUCUUUUUCUGAUUUCUAACACACACACACACACACAUAAUUCCCUCUCAUUUCCCUCACUUCUCCCAUAACUCUUUCUCUCUCUCUCUCUCUCCCUCU
This 2862-nucleotide long non-coding RNA is filed under the name Malus domestica (apple). Its description in RNAcentral is "long non-coding RNA (MDOM_LNC000115)". The record is from RNAcentral. Lineage: Eukaryota; Viridiplantae; Streptophyta; Magnoliopsida; Rosales; Rosaceae.